Long non-coding RNA from Homo sapiens (human), 2089 nucleotides. Ensembl annotates it as WDR11 divergent transcript. Its record names the gene WDR11-DT. The record is from Ensembl. NCBI's taxonomy places the organism in Eukaryota, Metazoa, Chordata, Mammalia, Primates, Hominidae.
CUUUGUAUGUUGUGUGGUUUCAUGGUCCACUGUGGAGCUCAGAGUAUAGAGUUCUUCAGUAUAUCUCUUAAAAUCUAUCGUUUGAAUAACACUUUGUUGAGAUAUAAUUCACAUAUAAAAUUUUUGAAGUGAUUGAAUAUACUUACAAUAUGAGGAGCAGACAAUGUAGGUGUCCUGCCCAUACCUCCUAUCCGACACCUUUACCAUUUUUGUGGACAAUGGCUCCUGAUAAAGGCUUUCUACUCCCAGCUGCUAGAACCCUGCAGUGAUUAACCAAUGACUGAAGUUUACAGGGUGAGGUGGAGUAUAACUAUUCCAGCUCCCUUCUCUGCUGACUGGAACAACACUGUCCUCCACUGUUUCCAGAGCUUCUCUGUGGAACCAAGCCAUAGGUUCACCUCCAUGGGACUUCACUAAUAUUGCAGCCUGACUUGUCUUCCUUCCCUUUCCGGUCCCAUUUUCCAUUUCCUAACUGUUUUUCCGGAACACUUUCUAGUUAAUCACUGUCAUGAAAGACCCUUGUCUCUGGGCAUGCUUGUGGGGAGUCCAACCUACUACGACACAUGGCUCAUGGCCAUUGUUUCUCUGUGUGAUCCAAAGAAAACCCGCAUCCCAAUCUCACGCUGGAUUUGUUCAAUACGGAUUCCUGAGUCUCAUCCAAACCCAAUGAGUCAGAAUGUCUAGGAUUGGGGCACAGAGAUCUGCAUUUUGAACAAAGCUGAUCCCCCAUCCCAAGAUUCUUCUGCACCCUGGAGUGUGGGAACUGUGGUUCUAGUCAGUACACUUGAUGUCAAGAUGUUGCAAAUGCCCUUGUCUAGAUGAAGACUUUACCGUACUACAUUAAGGGUCUGCAAGAGAAAACCCAGCCAAGGAUUCUCAGAACAACCCGAGCAACUUUCCUAUCCUGUCUCUCCUGAUGAAGGCUCCUGCUGCUUCUUAUGAGCACACUUACCCAUUGAUCCUCCUAUCAUCAAUAAGAAUCCGUUGAGAACAUCUUCCAGUACAGAGAGGAACCAACAUCUGGUUAAUUCAAACACAACCCCUGGGAUCAGAGGAAGUUAUUGUCCCAAAGUUGUGUGUCAUGCCCGAAGUGUCUGGGAUCCCCGAGUGCCUGUGGUGCCCAAGAGCUAUGAAUCUGCUAUCAUCAACACAGAGGGUACCUUCUGAAUGGGCUAUGUCUACAGUGAUGCUGCAAAUGGAAGCUAACCCUAGGAUGACUGGCCUCUGACACUUGAGCCAUCCCAUCAUCUGUCAUGGGUUGACCCAUCCAUCCCCUCAAUGAGCCUGACCUUCAGGACCACUGACAGAGGAGCAGUCAAUAGAAAUUAAUUGUUAAAUACCCAGAAAAUCUGAAAUGGUAUUUAAUAUGCAGUUCAUCAAGAGCAAAAGUUCCUUAAAUCUUCAUCUAGAAAAGUUAUUUAUAAGGGAUGAAUAUGUUGUAUGAAUAUGUUGUAUGCAAAUAUUAUAUUCAAGGGCAAGACCAUGAAAACAGUUUAAGAAUCCGACAGGGAAUUAGAUAAAGACAUCGGAGUGCACUUGUCAAAAUACAGCUAUCAAGAAUGAUGAUGUUGAAAAAUAGUUUAGCAAUAUAAUUGUCUAGAACCACAGGGAGUCUGAGAUUUUACCCAACUUGUGAGUUAACAACUCUGCUAUAGCUUCAUGAAAGAAGACACAAGACUCCUGGGUCAGGAACAAAGGUCUCUAAUACUCACAGCAAUAUCAGGAGCCAGAAUUUCAGGAUCCUUUUUCCUGCCAGUUUCUCAAGUCCUAAUUACCACCGAGUUACAGGAAAGGGCCAGGUAACACUAGCACUGCCAUCAGUGGCUGUAUUACAGAACAGGAACUCCAAGCUUAGGAAACCCAAAUCUUUUAUAGUUAACAAUGAACACAUCUGCCAUUGUUCUGAAGGGAGACGCUACCCCAAUCUUCCACACCUGUUCACUAUAUAAAUAUCUGUGAAAAGAUAGACAGAAAAAUAGGUGGAGAAUGCCUCUGCUCACAAGAUGUGCAGAAACGUGAGAGGCUCAUGGAGAACUGUUUCCCUACAAUGACAAAAUGCUGACGAUAUAUUGUUAUGUAAAAUAAAGCA